This 238-nucleotide long non-coding RNA is filed under the name Setaria italica (foxtail millet). Its description in RNAcentral is "long non-coding RNA (SITA_LNC007528)". Lineage: Eukaryota; Viridiplantae; Streptophyta; Magnoliopsida; Poales; Poaceae. The record is from RNAcentral.
GCCGAUUCAAUAUUGGGGAACAUCAUACGGUCCACCCUCUGCUGAGUGAUCUCACUCAUAUAAAGGUUCAGCCAUAGGUUGAGGAACCACCAGGGUCCGCCUGGAUUUCCGAUCGGCUCUCCCUUGGAUAGUCUGACGCCGAUUUGGUGGAGCAUGUGGUACGCUGCCCCUAGCAGGUGUUUCCCAAGGGGGACACGGUUUCCUCUGGACAGUGCUUCUGCUAAAGCCUGGGUGUUGG